This 91-nucleotide microRNA precursor is filed under the name Canis lupus familiaris (dog). RNAcentral's name for it is "mir-8799 microRNA precursor family". It matches the Rfam family "mir-8799 microRNA precursor family". RNAcentral also lists the same sequence under 1 other name. The record is from Rfam by way of RNAcentral. Lineage: Eukaryota; Metazoa; Chordata; Mammalia; Carnivora; Canidae.
GGGGGGAGGCCGGAUCCUGGGCUGUGUCCCUGGCGCCCUGUGCUCUCGGGCCUGUGCUGCUGGAUUCGUGCUCCCAGCGGUGCAGCCGCUU